This 553-nucleotide ribosomal RNA is filed under the name uncultured archaeon. RNAcentral describes it as "bacterial SSU rRNA". It matches the Rfam family "Archaeal small subunit ribosomal RNA", at positions 326 to 879 of the family's 1478-position model. The record is from RNAcentral.
CGGGGUGCACCAGGCGCGAAAACUUUACAAUGCUGGCAACAGCGAUAAGGGGACCUCGAGUGCCAGGUUGCAAAUCUGGCUGUCGUGAUGCCUAAAAAGCAUUGCAUAGCAAGGGCCGGGCAAGACCGGUGCCAGCCGCCGCGGUAACACCGGCGGCUCGAGUGGUAACCGUUGUUAUUGGGUUUAAAGGGUCUGUAGCCGGCCUGGUUAGUCCUUUGGGAAAUCCGGCAGCUCAACUGUCGGGCUUUCAGAGGAUACUGCCAGGCUCGAGACCGGAAGAGGUAAGAGGUACUUCAGGGGUAGGGGUGAAAUCUUGUAAUCCUUGAAGGACCACCAGUGGCGAAGGCGUCUUACCAGAACGGAUCUGACGGCAAGGGACGAAAGCUAGGGGCACGAACCGGAUUAGAUACCCGGGUAGUCCUAGCCGUAAACGAUACUCGCUAGGUGUCGGCCACGGUGCGACCGUGGUCGGUGCCGUAGGGAAACCGUGAAGCGAGCCACCUGGGAAGUACGGCCGCAAGGCUGAAACUUAAAGGAAUUGGCGGGGGAGCAC